RNAcentral lists this ribosomal RNA (450 nucleotides) under Conticribra weissflogii. RNAcentral describes it as "partial Eukaryotic large subunit ribosomal RNA". It matches the Rfam family "Eukaryotic large subunit ribosomal RNA", at positions 1014 to 1474 of the family's 3401-position model. Lineage: Eukaryota; Bacillariophyta; Thalassiosirophyceae; Thalassiosirales; Thalassiosiraceae. The record is from RNAcentral.
CGAAUGAUUAGAGGUUCGGGAGUUGUAACAACUUUCACCUAUUCUCAAACUUUAAAUUGGUAAGAACGCAGAGUUGCUUCAUUGAACUCUGUGCCGAAUGCGUGUUCCAUGUGGGCCAUUUUUGGUAAGCAGAACUGGCGACGAGGGUUCAACCUAAGGCAGGGUUGAGGCGACCAAUUGGCAGCUAAUGAGAUGAAAAGGUGUUAGUUCAUUUAGACAGUAGGACGGUGGCCAUGGAAGUCGGAACCCGCUAAGGAGUGUGUAACAACUCACCUACCGAAUGAACUAGCCCUGAAAAUGGAUGUCGCUAAGCAGCCAGCCGAUACCCUGCUGUCCAGCUUGAUGACAGUUGGACAGGUAGGAGGGCGUGGAGGCAGCGCAGAAGGCUCUGUGUGGACAGGGUUGGAGCUACCUCUAGUGCAGAUCUUGGUGGUAGUAGCAACUAUUCAA